RNAcentral lists this ribosomal RNA (536 nucleotides) under Salmonella enterica subsp. enterica serovar Infantis. RNAcentral's name for it is "bacterial SSU rRNA". It matches the Rfam family "Bacterial small subunit ribosomal RNA", at positions 1 to 526 of the family's 1533-position model. RNAcentral also lists the same sequence under 1 other name. Lineage: Bacteria; Pseudomonadati; Pseudomonadota; Gammaproteobacteria; Enterobacterales; Enterobacteriaceae. The record is from RNAcentral.
AAAUUGAAGAGUUUGAUCAUGGCUCAGAUUGAACGCUGGCGGCAGGCCUAACACAUGCAAGUCGAACGGUAACAGGAAGCAGCUUGCUGCUUCGCUGACGAGUGGCGGACGGGUGAGUAAUGUCUGGGAAACUGCCUGAUGGAGGGGGAUAACUACUGGAAACGGUGGCUAAUACCGCAUAACGUCGCAAGACCAAAGAGGGGGACCUUCGGGCCUCUUGCCAUCAGAUGUGCCCAGAUGGGAUUAGCUUGUUGGUGAGGUAACGGCUCACCAAGGCGACGAUCCCUAGCUGGUCUGAGAGGAUGACCAGCCACACUGGAACUGAGACACGGUCCAGACUCCUACGGGAGGCAGCAGUGGGGAAUAUUGCACAAUGGGCGCAAGCCUGAUGCAGCCAUGCCGCGUGUAUGAAGAAGGCCUUCGGGUUGUAAAGUACUUUCAGCGGGGAGGAAGGUGUUGCGGUUAAUAACCGCAGCAAUUGACGUUACCCGCAGAAGAAGCACCGGCUAACUCCGUGCCAGCAGCCGCGGUAAUAC